UAAGGAAUAUUGGUCAAUGGACGCAAGUCUGAACCAGCCAUGCCGCGUGCAGGAAGACGGCCCUACGGGUUGUAAACUGCUUUUGUACCGGAAUAAACCUUUUCACGUGUGAGAAGCUGAAUGUACGGUAAGAAUAAGGAUCGGCUAACUCCGUGCCAGCAGCCGCGGUAAUACGGAGGAUCCAAGCGUUAUCCGGAUUUAUUGGGUUUAAAGGGUGCGUAGGUGGCCUAUUAAGUCAGGGGUGAAAGACGGUAGCUUAACUAUCGCAGUGCCUUUGAUACUGAUGGGCUUGAAUACACUUGAGGUAGGCGGAAUGUGACAAGUAGCGGUGAAAUGCAUAGAUAUGUCACAGAACACCAAUUGCGAAGGCAGCUUACUAAAGUGUUAUUGACACUGAGGCACGAAAGCGUGGGGAUCAAACAGGAUUAGAUAGCCCUGGUAGUCCACGCCCUAAACGAUGAAUACUCGAUGUUGGCGAUAUACGGUCAGCGUCUAAGCG
RNAcentral lists this ribosomal RNA (499 nucleotides) under uncultured bacterium. RNAcentral's name for it is "partial 16S ribosomal RNA". It matches the Rfam family "Bacterial small subunit ribosomal RNA", at positions 355 to 853 of the family's 1533-position model. The record is from RNAcentral.